This 774-nucleotide ribosomal RNA is filed under the name uncultured Neocallimastigales. Its description in RNAcentral is "partial large subunit ribosomal RNA". It matches the Rfam family "Eukaryotic large subunit ribosomal RNA", at positions 24 to 649 of the family's 3401-position model. The record is from RNAcentral. Lineage: Eukaryota; Fungi; Neocallimastigomycota; Neocallimastigomycetes; Neocallimastigales.
UAUGUGAUCGUCUCUCGCAUAUCAAUAAGCGGAGGAAAAGAAACUAACAAGGAUUCCCCUAGUAACGGCGAGUGAAGCGGGAAGAGCUCAAAUUUGAAAUCUUAAAGGGUUUCCCUUUACGAAUUGUAGUUUAAAGAAGUGUUUUCUGUUGAGGUUUUGGUAAAAGUUCUUUGGAAUAGGACAUCAUAGAGGGUGAGAAUCCCGUAUUUGACCUUUACUUUCAACUUUGUGAUACACUUUCAAAGAGUCGGAUUGUUUGGGAAUGCAGUCCAAAAUGGGUGGUAAAUUUCAUCUAAAGCUAAAUAUUGGCGAGAGACCGAUAGCGAACAAGUACCGUGAGGGAAAGAUGAAAAGAACUUUGAAAAGAGAGUUAAACAGUACGUGAAAUUGUCAAAAGGGAAGCGUUUGACACCAGUGUUGUUUUUCUGAAAAUCAAUUAAAGAACUGUUUAUGCUAAGUUGUUUAGACUUUAUCAGCUAACUGUUUAGUUUUGAGCUUUUCUUUAAUGCACUUUUCAGUUAACAAGUCAACAUCAAUUUCUUUUGCUGUAAAAAAGCUUGAGGAAGGUGGCUUGAGAUUCGUCUUAAGUGUUUAUAGCCUCUUGCCUAUGCAGUCGGAGAGAUUGAGGUCUGCAGCGUAGAUCCUUCGGGGCUAAAUGCAUUUGUGCUAAGUUAUAACAUUUUAUAGACAACUUGUUGACUAUGAUUUGCCUUGUAGCUUACUCGCUUAUGUUAUUUUACCUACACUUAGGAUGUUGAGUAGCGACAUACGCAC